GUUAGUAUAGCUUAAAUUUAAAGCGUAGCACUGAAGAUGCUAAAAUAAACUAUUGUUUUACUGACA
Molecule: transfer RNA, 66 nt
Filed under: Ceriodaphnia cornuta
Lineage: Eukaryota; Metazoa; Arthropoda; Branchiopoda; Diplostraca; Daphniidae
Description: tRNA-Phe
Rfam family: tRNA
About the family: Transfer RNA (tRNA) molecules are approximately 80 nucleotides in length. Their secondary structure includes four short double-helical elements and three loops (D, anti-codon, and T loops). Further hydrogen bonds mediate the characteristic L-shaped molecular structure. tRNAs have two regions of fundamental functional importance: the anti-codon, which is responsible for specific mRNA codon recognition, and the 3' end, to which the tRNAs corresponding amino acid is attached (by aminoacyl-tRNA synthetases). tRNAs cope with the degeneracy of the genetic code in two manners: having more than one tRNA (with a specific anti-codon) for a particular amino acid; and 'wobble' base-pairing, i.e. permitting non-standard base-pairing at the 3rd anti-codon position.
Source: RNAcentral